This 473-nucleotide ribosomal RNA is filed under the name uncultured bacterium. Its description in RNAcentral is "bacterial SSU rRNA". It matches the Rfam family "Bacterial small subunit ribosomal RNA", at positions 791 to 1266 of the family's 1533-position model. The record is from RNAcentral.
UAGUCCACGCCGUAAACGAUGGAUACUAGCUGUCCGGACUUCGGUCUGGGUGGUCCAGCGAAAGUGAUAAGUAUCCCACCUGGGGAGUACGUUCGCAAGAAUGAAACUCAAAGGAAUUGACGGGGGCCCGCACAAGCGGUGGAGCAUGUGGUUUAAUUCGAUGAUACGCGAGGAACCUUACCAGGGCUUAAAUGUAAGUUGCAUGAUCUAGAGAUAGGUCUUUCUUCGGACCACUUACAAGGUGCUGCAUGGUUGUCGUCAGCUCGUGCCGUGAGGUGUCAGGUUAAGUCCUAUAACGGGCGCAACCCCUGUUGUUAGUUGCCAGCACAUUAUGGUGGGAACUCUAACAAGACUGCCGGUGCAAACCGUGAGGAAGGUGGGGAUGACGUCAAAUCAUCACGGCCCUUACGUCCUGGGGCUACACACGUGUUACAAUGGGCGGUGACAGUGGGGCAGCUACUUCGCGAGAAGAU